Molecule: ribosomal RNA, 253 nt
Filed under: uncultured bacterium
Lineage: Bacteria
Description: partial 16S ribosomal RNA
Rfam family: Bacterial small subunit ribosomal RNA
Source: RNAcentral
UACGGAGGGUGCAAACGUUGCUCGGAAUCAUUGGGCGUAAAGCGCACGUAGGCGGCCUGUUAAGUCGGGUGUGAAAGCCCUGGGCUCAACCCAGGAAGUGCACUCGAAACUGGCAGGCUUGAAUAUGGAAGAGGGUCGCGGAAUUCCCGGUGUAGAGGUGAAAUUCGUAGAUAUUCGGAGGAACACCAGUGGCGAAGGCGGCUCACUGGUCCAUUACUGACGCUGAGGUGCGAAAGCGUGGGGAGCAAACAGG